RNAcentral lists this ribosomal RNA (265 nucleotides) under uncultured bacterium. RNAcentral describes it as "partial 16S ribosomal RNA". It matches the Rfam family "Bacterial small subunit ribosomal RNA", at positions 355 to 612 of the family's 1533-position model. The record is from RNAcentral.
UAGGGAAUCUUCCACAAUGGACGCAAGUCUGAUGGAGCAACGCCGCGUGAGUGAAGAAGGCUUUCGGGUCGUAAAACUCUGUUAUUGAAGAAGAACGUGUGUGACAGUAACUGGUCAUGCAGUGACGGUAUUCAAUCAGAAANUCACGGCUAACUACGUGCCAGCAGCCGCGGUAAUACGUAGGUGGCAAGCGUUGUCCGGAUUUAUUGGGCGUAAAGCGAGUGCAGGCGGUCUUUUAAGUCUGAUGUGAAAGCCUUCGGCUUAA